Brassica rapa (field mustard) is the source of this 483-nucleotide long non-coding RNA. RefSeq lists it as uncharacterized. The record is from RefSeq and is a predicted model, not a curated record. Lineage: Eukaryota; Viridiplantae; Streptophyta; Magnoliopsida; Brassicales; Brassicaceae.
UCUUCAAAGAGUUUUGGAGCCUUUGUUGUCUCCGUUUUUCAAGAAAAUAGUUAUUUCAUCGAUUUAUGGAGUAUUAUGAAAUUUUACUAAAUUAAUUGAUAAAAAAAUUAUAACGAUUCCCAUAUACCAUGAAAGAGCUUAAAAUACAUUAUUAAAAAUGUAGAAUGUGGUUAAAAAAUUUAAAACAACACUAAAGAUUAUAGGCUUUCAGUAUAUAAAGUAUUUUCCAAAAACUCAAUAAUUUCGAAGGGGCUAACACAUGGAUUUUGAGUAAAAUUCAAAAAAUAUGACAAUAUUGUUUUAAUGCAUAUUUGCAUCUGCACUAACAUAUGAUGAUGUUCAAAGAGGUUUGGAGCCUUUGUUGUCUCCGUUUUUCAAGAAAAUAAAAAUAGUUAUUUUAUAGUGGUUAUUCCAUCGAUUUAGGGAGUAUUAUGAAGUUUUACUAAAUUAAUUAAUAAAAACAAUUAAACGAUGCUCAUUUAC